AGCGAACGCUGGCGGCAGGCCUAACACAUGCAAGUCGAACGAACCUUUCGGGGUUAGUGGCGGACGGGUGAGUAACACGUGGGAACGUGCCUUUAGGUUCGGAAUAACUCAGGGAAACUUGUGCUAAUACCGAAUGUGCCCUUCGGGGGAAAGAUUAAUCGCCUUUAGAGCGGCCCGCGUCUGAUUAGCUAGUUGGUUGAGGUAAUGGCUCACCAAGGCGACGAUCAGUAGCUGGUCUGAGAGGAUGAUCAGCCACAUUGGGACUGAGACACGGCCCAAACUCCUACGGGAAGGAGCAGUGGGGAAUCUUGCGCAAUGGGCGAAAGCCUGACGCAGCCAUGCCGCGUGAAUGAUGAAGGUCUUAGGAUUGUAAAAUUCUUUCACCGGGGACGAUAAUGACGGUACCCGGAGAAGAAGCCCCGGCUAACUUCGUG
This 434-nucleotide ribosomal RNA is filed under the name uncultured bacterium. RNAcentral's name for it is "partial 16S ribosomal RNA". It matches the Rfam family "Bacterial small subunit ribosomal RNA", at positions 29 to 507 of the family's 1533-position model. The record is from RNAcentral.